UCUAGUGGCAAGAGGGAACUGCCAAGGGAAAUCUGAGAGGAGGUGUUUACCCUGCGUAAACACCUUGCUGUUUAGCUUGGCAUCCCUAGAAGCAGACCCUGAGGACAGUGGGAAAAUGGAUUAUUAAGGAAGUGCUCCUGAGAGAAACCAGAAAGGGGGUGUAGGGAGCAAGGGAGGAUAAGGAGAAGACUCCAGUAAGGAUGAGAUUACUCAAGUCCCAUGGAAGACAGGUUAGCCUGAUCCUGCAGGGGAGCCCUGGAGGACUUAACAUCUCUGGAAAGCCAGAAAUCAGAGAUACAGAGAAGUAUUGAAAUGCUGAAAUGCUAUGAAUUUACUAUAAGAGAACAUUCUUCACUGAAGAGAUCUCUAGCUGCCAAAACACCCUUUCAUGCGUGAAAUACCGGGGCAAAGAGGAAGGAAAAGAGAAGAGUAUGACUCUAGGAACCAUGUUGCAGAAAUGCCAAAGGGUGGGACAAACAAAUAUAUUUAUAACAUAAAUGAGAACCAAGAAGACAAACAAACCAAAUCUCUGGGGAACAGAAGCCACUCUACAAAGUCUUCACAACGGAGCUAAUAUUUGAUUUGCAUUUUGGAGGAGAAAUAGAAAUUUGCUCAAUGGACUGAAGUGUGGGCAGGAGAAAAAGGGAAUCCUUGGCAGAAACACCGUAACAUGGAAUGGUGAAAAACAAAACAAAAUACAAUGAGAUUAAGGAACUGCAGAAAUACUUCUAAACCUGGAACAUAGGGUAUAAAAAAGGAAGACUCAAGAUAUGGUUCCAAGUUCCUUAGACCGUGGCUAUAUCAUGAAGAGCCUUAGAUGGCAAAGUAAAAAGUUUGAAUUUUGUAUUUUAUGAUCCUUAAAGUGCCUAGGAAAAUAUUAACACAUAUGAGCUAUCCAUAUAAUCGUUCUUGAACUGAAAUUACAAGUAUAUAGAGUAUGUGUCAGGAG
RNAcentral lists this long non-coding RNA (949 nucleotides) under Homo sapiens (human). RNAcentral's name for it is "HSALNT0381191". Lineage: Eukaryota; Metazoa; Chordata; Mammalia; Primates; Hominidae. The record is from RNAcentral.